GAGGACCGGAGUGGACGCAUCACUGGUGUUCGGGUUGUCAUGCCAAUGGCACUGCCCGGUAGCUAAAUGCGGAAGAGAUAAGUGCUGAAAGCAUCUAAGCACGAAACUUGCCCCGAGAUGAGUUCUCCCUGACUCCUUGAGAGUCCUGAAGGAACGUUGAAGACGACGACGUUGAUAGGCCGGGUGUGUAAGCGCAGCGAUGCGUUGAGCUAACCGGUACUAAUGAACCGUGAGGCUUAACCUUACAACGCCGAAGGUGUUU
This 262-nucleotide ribosomal RNA is filed under the name Escherichia coli. Its description in RNAcentral is "partial 23S ribosomal RNA". It matches the Rfam family "Bacterial large subunit ribosomal RNA", at positions 2687 to 2925 of the family's 2925-position model. The record is from RNAcentral. Lineage: Bacteria; Pseudomonadati; Pseudomonadota; Gammaproteobacteria; Enterobacterales; Enterobacteriaceae.